ACUGAACGCUGGCGGCAGGCCUAACACAUGCAAGUCGAACGAGGGGCGGACGGGAGAGAAAUGUCUGGGAAACUGCCUGAUGGAGGGGGAUAACUACUGGAAACGGUAGUAAUUACGGCAUACCAUCAGCUGUGCCCAGCUGGGAUGAGCUAGUUGGUGGGGUAACGGCUCACCAGGGCGACGAUCCCGUGCUGGUCUGAGAGGAUGACCAGCCACACUGUGACUGAGACACGGUCCAGACUCCUACGGGAGGCAGCAGUGGGGAAUAUUGCACAAUGGGCGCAAGCCUGAUGGAGCCAUGCCGCGUGUAUGAAGAAGGCCUUCGGGUUGUAAAGUACUUUCAGCGGGGAGGCGUUACCCGCAGAAGAAGCACCGGCUAACUCCGUGCCAGCAGCCGCGGUAAUAC
Molecule: ribosomal RNA, 406 nt
Filed under: uncultured bacterium
Lineage: Bacteria
Description: partial 16S ribosomal RNA
Rfam family: Bacterial small subunit ribosomal RNA
Source: RNAcentral